UACAGAGGUCUCAACCGUUGUUCGGAUUCAUUGGGCGUAAAGGGUGCGUAGGCGGUCGCGCAAGUCGGAUGUGAAAUCUCAGGGCUCAACCCUGAAACUGCAUUCGAUACUGCGUGGCUAGAGUGCUGGAGGGGAGACUGGAAUUUACGGUGUAGCAGUGAAAUGCGUAGAUAUCGUAAGGAGGACCAGUGGCGAAGGCGAGUCUCUGGACAGCAACUGACGCUGAGGCACGAAGGCCAGGGGAGCAAACGGG
Molecule: ribosomal RNA, 253 nt
Filed under: uncultured bacterium
Lineage: Bacteria
Description: partial 16S ribosomal RNA
Rfam family: Bacterial small subunit ribosomal RNA
Source: RNAcentral